RNAcentral lists this non-coding RNA (569 nucleotides) under Pongo abelii (Sumatran orangutan). The record is from RNAcentral. Lineage: Eukaryota; Metazoa; Chordata; Mammalia; Primates; Hominidae.
AUCGCCGCCAUUUUGGGCUGGGAGGAGGCAGCGGAGGGACUCGCUGCGCACAUCAAGAAAGAAAACCAAGGCACUAGAAAGCAAGCACACUUAAGUAUUGAAGAUAAUUACAUCUUAAAUUUUGUCUGAACUGUAUAUUGUAGCAUACUUAAACCCAUUCAAGGAAAAAAUUGGCAAAUUGAAAAUUCUCCCAUUAAAGAUUGAUAUUUUUGCAAACUGACAAAUUUAACGAUUUCGGUACCCCUCCCCAAAAAUGCAAUCACAUAAAAUAAAUCAAUACUAUUUUGAAUUAGCUCUAGAAAUCACACUGAAACUGUUACAUUUACAAAUGUUAAAUUUAUUAUAACUAAAAUGAAUUUAAUUGUUCUCAGAUUUGGCCACCUUAUAGCUCCGUUUAAGGAGGGGAUUUGUUAAAAACAAAAAUGCAUUAUAACUUGGUCAAAUUACUUUCACAUUAAGGAAAACUUCUAAAAAGGAAAACAAGAAAAGCAACUCUUCAGUUUCACAUAAUUAAAAGAACAGGAGAAAGCACGCAAGCUACAUAUAGCUAAAUUUACGAAACCAACCAA